CCCGCUCAGAAACUUAAAGGAAUUGACGGGGGCCCGCACAAGCGGAGGAACAUGUGGUUUAAUUCGAUGAUACGCGAGGAACCUUACCCGGGCUUGAAAUGCAUCUGACCGGCCUUGAAAGAGGCACUCCCCUUUCGGGGCAGAUGUGUAGGUGCUGCAUGGUUGUCGUCAGCUCGUGCCGUGAGGUGUCGGCUUAAGUGCCAUAACGAGCGCAACCCUCAUCAUUAGUUACCAUCAGGUAAGGCUGGGGACUCUAAUGAGACUGCCAUCGUAAGAUGUGAGGAAGGUGGGGAUGACGUCAAAUCAGCACGGCCCUUACGUCCGGGGCGACACACGUGUUACAAUGGCCGGUACAAAGGGCAGCUACCUGGUGACAGGAUGCUAAUCUCAAAAGCCGGUCUCAGUUCGGAUCGGAGUCUGCAACCCGACUCCGUGAAGCUGAAAUCGCUAGUAAUCGCGCAUCAGCCAUGGCGCGGUGAAUACGUUCCCGGGCCUU
Molecule: ribosomal RNA, 496 nt
Filed under: uncultured Proteiniphilum sp.
Lineage: Bacteria; Pseudomonadati; Bacteroidota; Bacteroidia; Bacteroidales; Dysgonomonadaceae
Description: bacterial SSU rRNA
Rfam family: Bacterial small subunit ribosomal RNA
Source: RNAcentral